GCUGGCGGCAGGCUUAACACAUGCAAGUCGAACGCCCCGCAAGGGGAGUGGCAGACGGGUGAGGAACACGUGGGAACGUACCCUUUGGUUCGGAACAACCCUGGGAAACUAGGGCUAAUACCGGAUACGAGCGAGAGCUGAAAGGUUUACCGCCGAAGGAUCGGCCCGCGUCUGAUUAGCUAAUUGGUGAGGUAAUGGCUCACCAAGGCGACGAUCAGUAGCUGGUCUGAGAGGAUGAUCAGCCACAUUGGGACUGAGACACGGCCCAAACUCCUACGGGAGGCAGCAGUGGGGAAUAUUGGACAAUGGGCGCAAGCCUGAUCCAGCCAUGCCGCGUGAGUGAUGACGGCCCUAGGGUUGUAAAGCUCUUUUACCCGGGAAGAUAAUGACGGUACCGGGAGAAUAAGCCCCGGCUAACUUCGUGCCAGCAGCCGCGGUAAUACGAAGGGGGCUAGCGUUGUUCGGAUUUACUGGGCGUAAAGCGCACGUAGGCGGACGCUUAAGUCAGGGGUGAAAUCCCGAGGCUCAACCUCGGAACUGCCUUUGAUACUGGGUGUCUUGAGUCCGGAAGAGGUGAGUGGAACUGCGA
This 589-nucleotide ribosomal RNA is filed under the name uncultured bacterium. RNAcentral's name for it is "bacterial SSU rRNA". It matches the Rfam family "Bacterial small subunit ribosomal RNA", at positions 35 to 672 of the family's 1533-position model. The record is from RNAcentral.